UAACACCUAGGUCUAGUUAGCUUGGUGAACUGUUUUCUGACACCUGAACAGAUUGGAAGCAGGGAAUCGAAGGUGAGGAAAGACUGCCACAAACAGGAGCCAAGAAUUAAGAGCCAAACCAAGGAGGUGACAUUCACGACGACAACUGUGGAUGGAAAUCCUGCCCAAAGGGGGAUGUUGGAUGAAUGGCUCCUAAGUCCCCUUCCAACAUUUCAGUUCAUGGCUCUGAGUGUCCCUGGUUUGAUUGUGAUGGUAAAGGCAGAUAAGAGGGCGAGGGAGACCUCUGUGGAGAGCUGGUGCCCAGCAGGAGCAAGAGUGAAUUCAUGCUCUUCUUCAUGGAGGUGGAUGUUUCUGGAAGGAGGUUUGUGAUGUCCUUUGCAGGGACAUGGAUGGAGUUGGAAGCCCUUAUCCUCAGCAAACUAAUGCAGGAACAGAAAACCAAACACUGCAUGUUCUUACUUAUAAGUGGGAACUGAAUGAUGAGAACACAUGGACACAUAAGGGGAAAUGACACACACUGGGGCCUGUCAGAGCUGAGGGGUUGUGGGGAGAGGGAGAGAAUCAGGAAUAAUGGCUAAUGUAUGCUGUGCUUAAUAUCUAGGUGAUGGGAUGAUCUGUGCAGCAAACCACCAUGGCACACGUUUACCUAUGUAACAAACCUGGACAUCCUGCACAUGUAUCCUGGAACU
RNAcentral lists this long non-coding RNA (689 nucleotides) under Pan troglodytes (chimpanzee). Its description in RNAcentral is "long non-coding RNA NONPTRT006341". The record is from RNAcentral. Lineage: Eukaryota; Metazoa; Chordata; Mammalia; Primates; Hominidae.